Molecule: ribosomal RNA, 406 nt
Filed under: uncultured bacterium
Lineage: Bacteria
Description: partial 16S ribosomal RNA
Rfam family: Bacterial small subunit ribosomal RNA
Source: RNAcentral
AUUGUACGCUGGCGGCAGGCCUAACACAUGCAAGUCGAACGAGUGGCGGACUGGUGAGUAAUUGCGGGGAAACUGCCUGAUGGAGGGGGAUAACUCCUGGCAACGGUGGCUAAUACCGCAUACCAUCAGCUGUGCCCAGAUGGGAUUAGAGUGUUGGUGGGGUAACGGCUCACCAAGUCGACGAGCCAUAGCUGGUCUGAGAGGAUGACCAGCCACACUGGAACUGAGACACGGUCCAGACUCCUACGGGAGGCAGUAGUGGGGAAUAUUGGACAAUGGGCGCAAGCCUGAUCCAGCCAUGCCGCGUGUAUGAAGAAGGCCGUCGGGUUGUAAAGUACGUUCAGCGGGGAGGCGGUACCCGCAGAAGAAGCACCGGCUAACUCCGUGCCAGCCGCCGCGGUAAUUC